AUAUUGGACAAUGGGCCACAAGCCUGAUCCAGCAAUUCUGUGUGCACGAUGAAGGUCUUCGGAUCGUAAAGUGCUUUCAGUUGGGAAGAAGAAAGUGACGGUACCAACAGAAGAAGCGACGGCUAAAUACGUGCCAGCAGCCGCGGUAAUACA
Molecule: ribosomal RNA, 153 nt
Filed under: uncultured Cetobacterium sp.
Lineage: Bacteria; Fusobacteriati; Fusobacteriota; Fusobacteriia; Fusobacteriales; Fusobacteriaceae
Description: partial 16S ribosomal RNA
Rfam family: Bacterial small subunit ribosomal RNA
Source: RNAcentral